UAGGACCCGGGACGCAGCAGUGAGGAAUAUUGGUCAAUGGGCGGGAGCCUGAACCAGCCAAGUCGCGUGAGGGAAGACGGUCCUAUGGAUUGUAAACCUCUUUUGUCGGGGAGCAAAGAGACCACGUGUGGUCAAAAGCGAGAGUACCCGAAGAAAAAGCAUCGGCUAACUCCGUGCCAGCAGCCGCGGUAAUACGGAGGAUGCGAGCGUUAUCCGGAUUUAUUGGGUUUAAAGGGUGCGUAGGCGGGACGGUAAGUCAGCGGUAAAAAUGCGGAGCUCAACUCCGUCGAGCCGUUGAAACUGUC
This 305-nucleotide ribosomal RNA is filed under the name uncultured bacterium. Its description in RNAcentral is "bacterial SSU rRNA". It matches the Rfam family "Bacterial small subunit ribosomal RNA", at positions 333 to 637 of the family's 1533-position model. The record is from RNAcentral.